AUUGAACGCUGGCGGCAGGCUUAACACAUGCAAGUCGAGCGGGGAAAUGUAGCUUGCUACAUUACCUAGCGGCGGACGGGUGAGUAAUGCUUAGGAAUCUGCCUAUUAGUGGGGGACAACAUUUCGAAAGGAAUGCUAAUACCGCAUACGCCCUACGGGGGAAAGCAGGGGAUCUUCGGACCUUGCGCUAAUAGAUGAGCCUAAGUCGGAUUAGCUAGUUGGUGGGGUAAAGGCCUACCAAGGCGACGAUCUGUAGCGGGUCUGAGAGGAUGAUCCGCCACACUGGGACUGAGACACGGCCCAGACUCCCACGGGAGGCAGCAGUGGGGAAUAUUGGACAAUGGGGGGAACCCUGAUCCAGCCAUGCCGCGUGUGUGAAGAAGGCCUUUUGGUUGUAAAGCACUUUAAGCGAGGAGGAGGCUACCUAGAUUAAUACUCUGGGAUAGUGGACGUUACUCGCAGAAUAAGCACCGGCUAACUCUGUGCCAGCAGCCGCGGUAAUACAGAGGGUGCAAGCGUUAAUCGGAUUUACUGGGCGUAAAGCGUGCGUAGGUGGCCAAUUAAGUCAAAUGUGAAAUCCCCGAGCUUAACUUGGGAAUUGCAUUCGAUACUGGUUGGCUAGAGUAUGGGAGAGGAUGGUAGAAUUCCAGGUGUAGCGGUGAAAUGCGUAGAGAUCUGGAGGAAUACCGAUGGCGAAGGCAGCCAUCUGGCCUAAUACUGACACUGAGGUACGAAAGCAUGGGGAGCAAACAGGAUUAGAUACCCUGGUAGUCCAUGCCGUAAACGAUGUCUACUAGCCGUUGGGGUCUUUGAGACUUUAGUGGCGCAGCUAACGCGAUAAGUAGACCGCCUGGGGAGUACGGUCGCAAGACUAAAACUCAAUGAAUUGACGGGGGCCCGCACAAGCGGUGGAGCAUGUGGUUAAUUUCGAUGCAACGCGAAGAA
RNAcentral lists this ribosomal RNA (945 nucleotides) under uncultured bacterium. RNAcentral describes it as "bacterial SSU rRNA". It matches the Rfam family "Bacterial small subunit ribosomal RNA", at positions 28 to 968 of the family's 1533-position model. The record is from RNAcentral.